UACGGAGGAUGCAAGCGUUAUCCGGAAUGAUUGGGCGUAAAGCGUCCGCAGGUGGCUAUGUAAGUCUGCUGUUAAAGAGUGAGGCUCAACCUCAUAAGAGCAGUGGAAACUACAUGGCUAGAGUGCGUUCGGGGCAGAGGGAAUUCCUGGUGUAGCGGUGAAAUGCGUAGAUAUUGGGAAGAACACCGGUGGCGUAGGCGACUCGCUGGGCUGUAACUGACGCUGAGGAACGAAAGCCAGGGGAGCGAAUGGG
Molecule: ribosomal RNA, 253 nt
Filed under: uncultured bacterium
Lineage: Bacteria
Description: partial 16S ribosomal RNA
Rfam family: Bacterial small subunit ribosomal RNA
Source: RNAcentral